Molecule: non-coding RNA, 29 nt
Filed under: Rattus norvegicus (Norway rat)
Lineage: Eukaryota; Metazoa; Chordata; Mammalia; Rodentia; Muridae
Source: RNAcentral
UUCUAUUUACAUGUUGCAUAUGUGUUUGC